Long non-coding RNA from Cyprinus carpio carpio, 969 nucleotides. NCBI's taxonomy places the organism in Eukaryota, Metazoa, Chordata, Actinopteri, Cypriniformes, Cyprinidae. The record is from Ensembl.
CCCUUGUUUAUUUGCUGUCUCCUUCGCCUUGCUUCACAACACAACCAAUUGGUAGGACCAAACCUACCAAUAUGAACUGAGCUGAGGACCUGCUGUAGGACCUGUGACAGAAUGGUCCGCAUUUUGAGUGGUAUGUGGAGGACUUCCUGGAUCUUUCCCAUCUGGUGAGUUGGCACAAUGUUUCACUCGGUGUGUGCUUUCAGAUGGGACUGGAUGAGGAAACUAUUCAAUGCAUGUAUCCUGUGUAUGAUGUACCUUUGGUCGAGGUGAUUAAUCUCAUCCUCUAUCUAAAUGGUUCAAAUUUUGCCGUAGAAGAAGUUAAUGAAAAUAAGAGUUGUCCUCAUCCAGCCACCUCUCAGAAACGCUUGGUCUCUCCAACUCACCUCACGGCAGUACCCUCUACAUGCCUCUCCAAUGGUUCCAUCCACUCCUACCCACCCAUGUUUCUCCGAGCCUGGAAGGAGGUUUCGAACAGCACUGACCUGGGAGCAAAAGUUAAAAGCACUGAAAUCCACCUCUCUUCCUCUGUGUCCAGCUCCUCCCAAGGUAGCGGCUUGCGCUGCAACAUUUCCAGAAGUGGCGGAGACCGCUCCAGAAUGCUCUCCAGAGUCCAUUCCAAAAUGCUCUUCAGUGCUCAACCAGGGGUCCACUAACACCACAGAGCUCAACCAGGAGCUCACUCACGCCACAGAGCUCAACCGGGAGCCCAGUCCUCCUAAGUCUCCUGAAUCUCAGCUGGUUCCAUCCAGCUCUCCUGAGUCUCCUGAAUCUCAGCUGGUUCCGUCCAGCUCUCCUAAAUCUCCUGAAUCUCCACUGGUUCCAUCCAGCUCUCCUGGGUCUCCUGAAUCUCUGCUGGUUCCGUCUAGCUCCCCUGAGUCUCCUGAAUCUCAGCUGGUUCCGUCCAGUUCUCCUGAGUCUCCUGAAUUUCUGCUGGUUCCGGCCAGUUUUUUAGAGUCUGCUAAGCUAUAA